GGACUCGCCCGGGACUGCCGCAGCCUGGAGAUUCAUCUAGAAAGAAUAUAACAAGCCUCCUUCUCCCUGGUGCCCAUGUUACUCCCUGUUGCUACUCUUUCCGAGCCUUCAGUUCCCUGGGUGGUACCCUCAAGUGUGAAAGAGGGAGUGCCCCUUGGAAGCUGGGGAACGAUUUAGGCCCAGGAGAAAAUGGAAGCAAAUCCAACAACCGGUGAGCUGUUAAAGAGGCCAUGCGCCUGGUAGCAAGAGCUCUGGAUCAAACGGCAUAACAUGCGUUUGGACAUGUAAGGAUUUCAGCGGUUCCUGCAAAGCAAACUUCUCUGGAGGAGCCCGAGAGACCUCUUCUGUACAGAAUAGCCUUACACCCCAUAGGGCAGUCUGUCAGCAAUGCAUUUGAAAGGGGAGCACACAGACUCCAUGUAAACUGCCCAAUGCUUCCCAGAAGGCUGGCGGCCCCUGCAUCGCUCUGAACUGAAGAGGAGCUGAAGUCACAGAAAGCCAGCCACUACUCGAUUGCCCAAGAAGCAGUCGUCGCACUGGCCCAGCUUCACAGCGGCUCUCGAGUGCUGAGAAAACCCACUGGAAGGGCUUCCUUUCCCUACUCUGCACAUGAGAAUAGCCAUUCCUGUGUCAGUUUUGCUUCUUUCUGGGCUCUCUGAUUAGGAUUUAUUUCCUUAGCUAGAGAAAAUAAAGGGACCUUACAAGGCCUAAUUAGAGCGACUCCUCUCUGAUGUAUUCAAGACACCCUGCUGAAUUGGACUGGCAAGUCCCUGUGUAUUGUUAUUAUUGUUGUUUUAAAGAAGCCAUUUCUGACCAGGGUGGCUGAAGGAGACGCCCUUUGUCGGCCUCUCAUGGUCCUGGCCCUCGCCAAGGGAACUGUUCC
This 883-nucleotide long non-coding RNA is filed under the name Homo sapiens (human). RNAcentral's name for it is "HSALNT0024148". Lineage: Eukaryota; Metazoa; Chordata; Mammalia; Primates; Hominidae. The record is from RNAcentral.